This 85-nucleotide microRNA precursor is filed under the name Erinaceus europaeus (western European hedgehog). RNAcentral describes it as "mir-3154 microRNA precursor family". It matches the Rfam family "mir-3154 microRNA precursor family". Lineage: Eukaryota; Metazoa; Chordata; Mammalia; Eulipotyphla; Erinaceidae. The record is from Rfam by way of RNAcentral.
AGGCCCCUCCUUCCCAGACACAGCUUUGGCUCACCCCUGCCACGUCAAAGAGGCAGAAAGGGAGUCAGGAGCAGAGAGGGGACCA